GACGAACGCUGGCGGCGUGCUUAACACAUGCAAGUCGAACGAAGUGGCGAACGGGUGAGUAACGCGUAAUCAACCUGACCUUCAGAGGGGGACAACAGAUGGAAACGACUGCUAAUACCGCAUACUGAAGGAGGGGAUUGCGUCUGAUUAGCUAGUGGGAGGGGUAACGGACCACCAAGGCGAGGAUGAGUAGGCGGGCUGAGAGGAUGAACGGCCACAUUGGGACUGAGACACGGCCCAGACUCCUACGGGAGGCAGCAGGGGGGAAUCUGCCGCAAUGGACGAAAGUCUGACGGAGCAACGCCGCGUGAGUGAUGAUGGCCUUCGGGUUGUAAAGCUCUGUUAAUCGGGACGCGGUACCGGAAUAGAAAGCCACGGCUAACUACGUGCCAGCAGCCGCGGUAAUAC
Molecule: ribosomal RNA, 408 nt
Filed under: uncultured bacterium
Lineage: Bacteria
Description: partial 16S ribosomal RNA
Rfam family: Bacterial small subunit ribosomal RNA
Source: RNAcentral